AUUUAACGCUUGCGGCAGGCCUAACACAUGCAAGUCGAGCGAGUGGCGGCCGGGUGAGUAAUGUCUGGGCAACUGCCCGAUGGAGGGCGCUAACUACUGGAAACGGUAGCUACUACCGCAUUCCAUCGGAUUUGCCCCGAUGGGAUUAGCUAGGCGGUGGGGUAACGGCUCACCUCGGCGACGAUCCCUAGCCGGUCUGAGAGGAUGACCAGCCACACUGGAACUGAGACACGGUCCAGACUCCUAAGGGAGGCAGCAGUGGGGAAUAUUGCACAAUGGGCGCAAGCCUGAUGCAGCCAGGCCGCGUGUAUGAAGAAGGCCUUCGGGUUGGAAAGUACUUUAAGCGAGGAGGCGUUACUCGCAGAAGAAGCACCGGCUAACUCCGUGCCAGCAGCCGCGGUAAUUC
RNAcentral lists this ribosomal RNA (406 nucleotides) under uncultured bacterium. RNAcentral's name for it is "partial 16S ribosomal RNA". It matches the Rfam family "Bacterial small subunit ribosomal RNA", at positions 30 to 526 of the family's 1533-position model. The record is from RNAcentral.